AGGAGAAGCUGGACCUGCAGGGACUUUCUCUUGCUCCUUUUUGUCACUCAGCCUGUAAGUAGCACUUCUAUGGCCAGAUGAACAAGUGCCGAAAGAGACAGGCUUCUAGCUCCCAGGAUAAACCUCUCCUUUGUCCUUUAUGCUCAGGGAGCUCAGAACUGUAGCUGAAACUUUCAGUAAGGCCAGCCUAAGGUGUGAGGCAUGCCACACACCCACAGAGCUUCCGGGUGAGCCUUAGGACUUCCUCCACUGUGGAUGUCACCAUGAAGGUGGCGUCAUGCUGAGAGCUGAUGCUCUGUGCGGCACCUGGAGUUGGAGGAGGAAGAGCAGAGUCCAGGGAAGAAGGUACCCAGCAUUUAGGCACGGGAGUUUCCAGCCUCUUUCACAUCCCUGGGCACUGGCUAUGCUGGGGCCUGCACCAAGCCGGGAGAGGUCACCUGAGGGGUGGCUCUGAAGUUCAUCUUGCUGCUCAGGGGUUGCCAACCAGGAUAGCCCAGGAAGAGCUGGAUACUACCUCCUCCUCCAAGUGCAGCCUGUCUGUGACCCACAUCACACUUUCCAAGCGGAGAAGUUAGGCUUCUUCUUCAGUCCCUGCCUUUGCAGUGGAGUUCCAGCAGUCCAGAAGGAAAAAACAUCCAGAAAUCAAUCAGGGAGCAUUAACAGACUGUGCUUGUUAACCACCUAACACACAGUAUCUAUCCAAACUGGAAUUGCUGGAUCACAUGGAGAUUCUGAGGGACGUCUGUACUGUUUCCUGUUUCCCAUCCCUACCAGCGAUGCAGCAUCACAUCAUGCAGUAGUGCCUGGUUAUUCCUCUGACAAACAGCAGGACACAGAGGUGGCCCUGCUUGUUGAGAUCACAAGGUUGGGAAGGCUCUGUACAAGCACACACUAAUGGAUGGCUAUGUAAUCGCGGUUAUUUAAGAAUAAAAUACAAUU
Molecule: long non-coding RNA, 939 nt
Organism: Chinchilla lanigera (long-tailed chinchilla)
Lineage: Eukaryota; Metazoa; Chordata; Mammalia; Rodentia; Chinchillidae
Exons: 4
Source: RefSeq, a predicted model, not a curated record